Lactifluus subvellereus is the source of this 81-nucleotide non-coding RNA. The record is from the annotation of a GenBank genome assembly. NCBI's taxonomy places the organism in Eukaryota, Fungi, Basidiomycota, Agaricomycetes, Russulales, Russulaceae.
GGCCGCCUGGCGAAAUGGCAUCGCGUCUGACUACGACUUGUCGCGAUCAGGAGAUUGCAGGUUCGACCCCUGCGGUGGUCA